Carassius auratus (goldfish) is the source of this 490-nucleotide long non-coding RNA. RefSeq lists it as uncharacterized. NCBI's taxonomy places the organism in Eukaryota, Metazoa, Chordata, Actinopteri, Cypriniformes, Cyprinidae. The record is from RefSeq and is a predicted model, not a curated record. The transcript is spliced from 3 exons.
UGGAUGAGGAGAGACAGCAGCACACAGAGCAGAGAGACCAGCUGACUCUGCGUGUGAAGGCUCUGAAGAGGCAGGUGGAUGAAGGAGAGGCAGAAGCAGAGCGGCUGGAGGGAUUGAGGAGGAAGGCCAUCAGAGAAAUGGAGGAGAUGCAGGAACAGAAGGAGGCGCUGCAGUCCAAAGUCACGGCACUAGAGAAUGAACUCAAGAGGAAGAUCCAACAGGCCCGACAGUCAGCUCUGGAGUCUUCAGUGCUCAGCUGUGAUGAUGAUGAUGAUGAUGAAGGAUUGUAUGAUCAUUCCAGCAUAACCUCCAUCCUCACCAAGAGCAACCUACAGACCAGUUCCUGCUGAAGACUGAGAGAUGAAUCUGGAAUUCCUCUUCAUUGAUGCUUCAUUCCUGGACACACAGUAGCUUCAGUCCUGCUCUAAAACUGAUAAUAGAAACUUCAGUCUUCUGGUUUCUACUUUUGAUCUUUACGCCACAUCACUAU